This 449-nucleotide long non-coding RNA is filed under the name Eucalyptus grandis. Its description in RNAcentral is "long non-coding RNA (EGRA_LNC004298)". The record is from RNAcentral. Lineage: Eukaryota; Viridiplantae; Streptophyta; Magnoliopsida; Myrtales; Myrtaceae.
CCUGGGGGAGGUAGCCGGAGCGCUGGCCCUCGAAGAAGAGGAUGCACUUGGACAAUGCGUCCCGUAGUCGAGGUAGCUCGCCUAGCCGCGGCGGCGGCGAGGCGUGAGGAGGAAGAGAAAGGGGAGGCGGAGGGUCGGCAUUGUUGGAAAUGGCGGGGUGUGAGAGAGAGAGAGAGAGAGAGAGAGAGAGAGAGUGUGUUGGUUUUGGUUUGGGGAGUCUCGUGAGUGGAGAGUGGCGGGGCUUGGUGGGGCUUUUCGAGUUUUGGAAUUGAAUAUGAGAAGACGACGUCGAGCGGAAAAGUGAAGGCGGGGGGACGAAACGGUAGAGGGACAUAGAGGGGGUGGAGGCAGUUGAGAGGAGUUUCUUUUGGGUCGAGGAUGGAAUUUAAUGGGGUUGAGAUGCUUUCCAACUUCCUGUCUUGAUUUUUAGGUAAAUGAUCUAUACUUGU